UGUAGAUAUAGUAUUCAUACGUUUUUGCUUUGAGGUAAUAUUUAUGAUUUUCUCCUGUAACAACACAUGGACAUGUUUGCUAGUUUCUAAAAAACGUUAUCAAGGCCCAGCAGAGGACGAGGUCGUCCUCAACUUCUCUUGGAGUUCCAGAUCACCUCCACAGGCCAUGGCAGCGUGAUCCCCGCGUCGCGGUGCAACUUUUCUUCCUAUCCUCCCGCGAAACCUUCCUUCCCUUCGAAGCCUUCCUUUCCCGCUCCUCCCCAUCACUAAGAGGCCUUAAUGGCCGAGAUUGCUGUCGCGAAAAAUCCGGCCAUGAAUGGAAUUGCACGCCCAUGCCACCACGCUCUCGGUCCUCCCCGCCCCUAUAUAAAGACCCAAGGUAGCUCUAGUUCCACUCGAUCGAUUUUUCCGCUUUGGAGUCCAAACCAUCCUCCCAAUCCAGAGCAAUAAAUCGUCGGAGUUCGUCAAGCCGACGACCUUUCCACGUCGAUCGCGGCUCGGACCAACCGUGAGACAACCUUCUCCGAGGUUGCCGAGACCUCCUCCUCCAUGUCCCUUACUCUCCCUUCACAGGGGACCACCCCAUCGCCGGAUACGAGCUCCCCACUGUCAUCUUCCCCAAGUCCGACGACUAACUCCGGUGAGAUUAAAAAAAAACCUGUAAUUCCUUUUUUUUCAAAAAAAUAGCAAUCUUAGAAAAAUUAUAUCUCCUAGUCUAUAGAUUCAAAUUAAGUGAUUACAAUUGCCUUAGAUCACAAAUUUUAAGUAGUUUCCGUAGAUCCAAAAAGUCUUCUUGUUUGAAAAUUUUAUAUUUGAAUUUGAAUAGAUUUUAUGCAAACACAAUUUUUCUAUUAUCUUUUAAAU
Molecule: long non-coding RNA, 864 nt
Filed under: Hordeum vulgare
Lineage: Eukaryota; Viridiplantae; Streptophyta; Magnoliopsida; Poales; Poaceae
Description: long non-coding RNA (HVUL_LNC011321)
Source: RNAcentral